GCCUAAAGCGUCCGUAGCCGGCUAUGUUAGUUUUCGGUUAAAUCCAUGUGCUCAACACAUGGGCUGCCGAAAAUACUGUAUAGCUAGGGAGUGGGAGAGGUAGACGGUACUCGGUAGGAAGGGGUAAAAUCCUUUGAUCUAUCGAUGACCACCAGUGGCGAAGGCGGUCUACCAGAACACGUCCGACGGUGAGGGAUGAAAGCUGGGGGAGCAAACCGGAUUAGAUACCCGGGUAGUCCCAGCUGUAAACUAUGCAAACUCAGUGAUGCAUUGGCUUGUGACCAAUGCAGUGCCGCAGAGAAGUCGUUAAGUUUGCCGCCUGGGAAGUACGUACGCAAGUAUGAAACUUAAAGGAAUUGGCGGGGGAGCACCACAAGGGGUGAAGCCUGCGGUUCAAUUGGAGUCAACGCCAGAAAUCUUACCCGGAGAGACAGCAGAAUGAAGGUCAAGCUGAAGACUUUACCAGACAAGCUGAGAAGUGGUGCAUGGCCGUCGCCAGCUCGUGCCGUGAGAUGUCCUGUUAAGUCAGGUAACGAGCGAGAUCCCUGCCUCUAGUUGCCACCAUUACUCUCAGGAGUAGUGGGGCGAAUUAGCGGGACUGCCGCAGUUAAUGCGGAGGAAGGAGGGGGCCACGGCAGGUCAGUAUGCCCCGAA
This 654-nucleotide ribosomal RNA is filed under the name uncultured archaeon. Its description in RNAcentral is "bacterial SSU rRNA". It matches the Rfam family "Archaeal small subunit ribosomal RNA", at positions 508 to 1160 of the family's 1478-position model. The record is from RNAcentral.